GAAACUGCGAAUGGCUCAUUACAUCAGUUAUUAUUUAUUUGAUAAUCGAAAGUUACAUGGAUAACCGUGACAAAUUACAGCUAAUACAUGCAGUCAGACCUGGUCCAAGGGUCGUAAUUAUUAGUAUUAAACCAUUUCCGCAAGGAAUGUGAUGAAUCAUAAUAAUCGAACGAAUCGCCUGGUGUGCGAUAAAUCAUUCAAGUUUCUGCCCUAUCAGCUUUGGAUGGUAGUGUAUUGGACUACCAUGGCAGUCACGGGUAACGGAGAAUUAGGGUUCGAUUCCGGAGAGGGAGCCUGAGAAACGGCUACCACAUCUACGGAAGGCAGCAGGAGCGAAAAUUGCCCAAUCCUGACACAGGGAGGCAGUGACAAGAAAUAUCAACUCUUGGAUUUCUAAGAAGUGAAAUGAGGAUAAUUUACAACCCUUACCGAAAGCAAUUGGAGGGCAAGUCUGGUGCCAGCAGCCGCGGUAAUUCCAGCUCCAAUAGCGUAUAUUAAAGUUGUUGCAGUUAAAAAGCUCGUAGUUGAAGUUCUGGCUGUUCGAUCCUCGAGCUCUGUAGCCGAGGACUCGACAGUCAUCCGCUUGCAAAUAUAUGUUCGCCUUUAACCGGGUGGCUAUAUGAGCAAGCAAUUUACCUUGAGAAAAACAGAGUGUUCCAGGCAGGUUUGUCCGGAAUGCAUUAGCAUGGAAUAAUAGAAUAUGACUGAAGUCAAUUUAUUGGUUUAGGGCUUUAGUAAUGAUUAAUAGGAACAGUCGGGGGCAUUGGUACUUGACAGUCAGAGGUGAAAUUCUAGGAUUUGUCAAAGACUAACAAAUGCGAAAGCAUUUGCCAAGGAUGUUUUCAUUAAUCAAGAACGAAAGUUAGGGGAUCAAAGACGAUCAGAUACCGUCCUAGUCUUAACUAUAAACUAUACCGACUCGGAUUCGGAUGAAUCAAAAAGUUCAUUCGGGACCGUAGGAGAAAUCAAAGUUUUUGGGUUCUGGGGGAAGUAUGGUCGCAAGGCUGAAACUUAAAGGAAUUGACGGUUUUGCACCACCAUGGAGUGGAGUCUGCGGCUUAAUUUGACUCAACACUGGGAAACUCAUCAGGGCAAGAAGAUUUUAGGAUUGACAGAUUGAGAGUUCUUUCUUGAUUGGUCUAGUGGUGGUGCAUGGCCGUUCUUAGUUGGUGGAGUGAUUUGUCUGGUUAAUUCCGUUAACGAACGAGACCUUAACCUGCUAACUAGUACUUGGAUGUCCAAUCCAUGUUACUUCUUAGAGGGACUAUGUGAUGUAAUCACAUGGAAGUUUGAGGCAAUAACAGGUCUGUGAUGCCCUUAGAUGUCCUGAGCUGCACGCGUACUACAAUGGUGCUUUCAACGAGCUUUUCCUGAUCCGAAAGGAUUUGGGUAAUCUUUUUAGUGAGCACCGUGCUUGGGAUAGAUCUUUGUAAUUAUGGAUCUUGAACUAGGAAUUCCUAGUAAGCGCGAGUCAUCAGCUCGUGCUGAUUACGUCCCUGCAAAAUGUACACACCGCCCGUCGCUAUUACCGAUUGAGUGCUAAGGUGAACCUUCUCGAUAGCGCAAGCUAAAAAUUAAGUAAACCUUAGUACUUAGAGGAAAUAAAAGUCGUAACAAGGUUUCCGUAGGUGAACCUGCGGAAGGAUCA
This 1648-nucleotide ribosomal RNA is filed under the name Epistylis daphniae. RNAcentral's name for it is "partial small subunit ribosomal RNA". It matches the Rfam family "Eukaryotic small subunit ribosomal RNA". Lineage: Eukaryota; Ciliophora; Oligohymenophorea; Sessilida; Epistylidae. The record is from RNAcentral.